GAUGAACGCUGGCGGCGUGCCUAAUACAUGCAAGUCGAGCGAACGGACGAGAAGCUUGCUUCUCUGAUGUUAGCGGCGGACGGGUGAGUAACACGUGGAUAACCUACCUAUAAGACUGGGAUAACUUCGGGAAACCGGAGCUAAUACCGGAUGAUAUUUUGAACCGCAUGGUUCAAAAGUGAAAGACGGUCUUGCUGUCACUUAUAGAUGGAUCCGCGCUGCAUUAGCUAGUUGGUAAGGUAACGGCUUACCAAGGCAACGAUGCAUAGCCGACCUGAGAGGGUGGUCGGCCACACUGGAACUGAGACACGGUCCAGACUCCUACGGGAGGCAGCAGUAGGGAAUCUUCCGCAAUGGGCAAAAGCCUGACGGAGCAACGCCGCGUGAGUGAUGAAGGUCUUCGGAUCGUAAAACUCUGUUAUUAGGGAAGAACAUAUGUGUAAGUAACUGUGCACAUCUUGACGGUACCUAAUCAGAAAGCCACGGCUAACUACGUG
RNAcentral lists this ribosomal RNA (497 nucleotides) under uncultured bacterium. Its description in RNAcentral is "partial 16S ribosomal RNA". It matches the Rfam family "Bacterial small subunit ribosomal RNA", at positions 28 to 507 of the family's 1533-position model. The record is from RNAcentral.